AGAGUGCCAAGAAAAGUGUUCCUGAACAUGAGGAAAGGUAUAUUUUGAUGUUUCACAUGUUUAUAUCGUCUUAAGAUGUUUAUUUUUUGCAAGUUUGUCAAUGCAGAAAAAUACAUCUGUGACGAUGUUUUGUAUUUAAAAUUGUCAUUUCUUCAAUUGAUGUAAAUGUACAAGCACAAAGUUGAUAUUUCUCAAAACUUUUUCAACGUUUUUGUAAAUCUCCAUUUUUAACCUGAGGAUUCGAAAACUGCUAAAUGAAAUUGAGGACCUCAAAAUAUGUUUGGAAGAAGAAAGAAUUAAUCACAAAUCCCAGUUUCAACAGUUUGUGGAAAAUACCAUAAUAAAUAUACAGAUCAUGGUGCAAGAGCACAAAGAUCAUAUAAAGAUGAUUGAGGAACAACAUUUGAUUGACAUAGAAAAUUUAAAAGAAUCCUGCUGAGGCAAAGCUGAAUGAAGAAAGGGAACUUGCCAAUUCUACAUCAGUCAAAAUGCAAAAUGAAAUUGAUUUAGUUCGUGCCAGUUUGGAAAGUUGCAAGCACGACGUAUCUAUUGAGUUGAAAAAGCGAUGGUCAGAAAGAAAUGAGGAACUAAAAUCUGAGCAAGAAGUUAUGAUAGAAAGACUUCUCACUGAGCAGAAGUCUAAACUGAAAAGAGAAGAGGCUGUAGCUGUGAAGAAAGUGAAGGGACGGCAUGCCGAAGAUAUUAAAAUGAUUAAAGAAGAACAUCGCAAAGAACUGAAUGCACUUCGUUGUGAGUUUGAAGCGUUCGCUGCUGAAGCUGAACAAUACAAAAUUCUUGCUUUGGAAUCCGAGAAUCUCAAAGAAGAUAUGCGAGAUCUUCAACAACUUCACGAGAAAACAGAACAAAAAUUGAGAAAAACCUUAAAUGAACUUGCCGACGUGAAAUUAAAACUUCAAGGAUACGAAAUGAGUUUUUCGGAAAAGGUUGCCGAAGUUGAAGAACGUUAUGCGAUGAAGAUUCAGCGCCUAAUCUUAAAUAACACAGAUCUAAGACACAACUAUAUGAAGAAAUGUGCAGAACUAUUGGGUGUUCAGAACAAAGAUAAUACAACGACGAAUUCCAAGGCUAUGAAAGUUAGUAACACAAAAGAACAAUGAAGACGAUCAUUUUAGCUCGUGCGAGAGCUGAUAUUAGUUUGGUUACAGAGAUGAAGAAUGUCAUUAUAGGAGAUAUAUCUUCAAAGGGUUCUACCACUGGUACAUCGUCAUUGUCGUCAAGGCGACCGCGUAGUGCCCCACUCAUUAAAUCAUUUAGAGAGAAUGAUGUCGAUGGAAACUUAUUUUUGACUCUUUCUGAGUUUCGCAAGUUCCGACCAAGUUCAAGUUUUGCUUAAGUCCGGGACUCCACCUGCGAAUAUAUCGUCAUCUUCUCUACCCCAAUCUAAAUAUUUGUUGGAAAAACCGUUGACUUCUUCAUAGUGUUCCUUCCACAUCGCUUCAAAGUCUCCGAAAAUUGCUGAGUUUGGCAACCUGCACAAAGUGUAACAAUUUGCUAAGUCUUGGAAUGUUGUGGAGAAUGAAAGGCCUUGACGUGAUGGAGUGAAUUCAGUAAGUCAUUACAUAGCGAUUGUGAGCAAGGAUUUUUCUCCUUUAGUUAAUAAUAUUUCCUUAAAACUUUAGUUGGUUUCACUGGAGAAAUGAAAAUUAUUGUACUAAUUACUUCUUUUUCUUGUCAUUGUUACAUUUUACUAUUGAUUUACAUGAAUGUAAAUCGAUUUAUUGAAUUACUUGAGUACAUACAUGUAUGUGUGAGUACAUACAUUAGAGUAUGAGUGCACACAUGUAUGUGCGAGUAAAUACAUGUAUGUAUGCAAAACAUAUUUGAUAAACGAAGUUUUCAUACCGAUAGAAGAACUUGUUUACCGCUGGACACAUGUAUUGUGGAGAAGUUGGACAAUUGUACAUAUUUUUGUCGCUCUCGGAAUGAAGGUCCACCUCGUGAAACAUAAAAAUUUGAUAGAUGUUAUACUUUUGAGCUUCUUUGAAACCAUUAUUGAAUAGUAUAGUAACAGUAUAGUCAUGUAUGCGAUCGAUAGCUUUAAGUUUGCAUAUAACGUUCAUGCAUGAUUAGUGAAGCCGGUCAUCAGGAUUUUUUUAAGUUCCGAUUUUUUAUUCACUGCAUGCAUGAUACGCGUAAAAAGCACUGAGCAGAAGUGAAAAGUGAAAAAUCUAUAUAAGCUCAUUAAUAUGAUGAUUUGAGUCAAUGCACCUUCUUGAGAGCUAUUUAAUAAAAAAAUCCAGUGUUCAAACGACGAAUAUUUAUUACCCUAGUUUAAAUUGUCCAAAAACAAACAAAUGUAAUUUUUAUACAUGUAUAAAGCUAUAAUUUGUAUCCGGACAUCACUUUUUUUGCAAAUUAUUAAACGCGUCAGAUAUUUUUAA
Xenia sp. Carnegie-2017 is the source of this 2402-nucleotide RNA transcript. RefSeq lists it as uncharacterized. The transcript is spliced from 16 exons. The record is from RefSeq and is a predicted model, not a curated record. NCBI's taxonomy places the organism in Eukaryota, Metazoa, Cnidaria, Anthozoa, Malacalcyonacea, Xeniidae.